CUUCUUCUUCUUCCUUAUUUUCUUCUUAAAAGCUUCCAUAGAGAAGAAAAUUUUGGCUCAACGGUCACAAGUUUUUUCUUUUCUCUCUCUACCAUAUCUAAAGGAAGGCAUCAAUGCCUGCUCAGAAGAGGUCUCUCCCUGAUAAUCCCGACAACGAUGAGGAAGAUGCUCCCUCUUCUCCUCUUCAAAACGGCCACCAAUAUCCCAAGCAAUCUCGAGUCGACCCACCUCCUCUUGAUGACCCCACACUCCACCAGCAACAACAACUAGAGGAAGGAGAAGAAGAAGACGAGCCAACCCACAAGCCAGAAGAAGAGGAAGAAGAAGAAGAAGAAGAAGAAGACGCUGAAGGAGAAGAAGAUGAGGAACUAGAAGAGCAAGCUGAAGAGAAACAACCAGCAGCACAAGAUUCUGAGGAAAGCCAAUCUUCCAGCUCCGAAGAUGAAAAACCCGAAUUUGUCUUUGUGGAG
RNAcentral lists this unclassified non-coding RNA (470 nucleotides) under Hevea brasiliensis (rubber tree). Lineage: Eukaryota; Viridiplantae; Streptophyta; Magnoliopsida; Malpighiales; Euphorbiaceae. The record is from RNAcentral.